CCAGACUCCUACGGGAGGCAGCAGUGGGGGAUAUUGCACAAUGGGGGAAACCCUGAUGCAGCGACGCCGCGUGAGUGGAGGAGCGUUUCGGCGCGUAAAGCUCUAUCAGCAGGGAAGACAAACUGCCCCGGAAGGGGCAGCCGGACGGUACCUGACUAAGAAGCCCCGGCUAACUACGUGCCAGCAGCCGCGGUAAUACGUAGGGGGCAAGCGUUAUCCGGAUUUACUGGGUGUAAAGGGAGCGUAGACGGCAGUGCAAGUCUGAAGUGAAAGGCGGGGGCCCAACCCCCGGACUGCUUUGGAAACUGUGCUGCUGGAGUGCAGGAGAGGCAAGUGGAAUUCCUAGUGUAGCGGUGAAAUGCGUAGAUAUUAGGAGGAACACCAGUGGCGAAGGCGGCUUACUGGACUGUAACUGACGUUGAGGCUCGAAAGCGUGGGGAGCAAACAGGAUUAGAUACCCGAGUA
RNAcentral lists this ribosomal RNA (465 nucleotides) under uncultured bacterium. RNAcentral's name for it is "bacterial SSU rRNA". It matches the Rfam family "Bacterial small subunit ribosomal RNA", at positions 331 to 792 of the family's 1533-position model. The record is from RNAcentral.